GGACCCGCACAAGCGGUGGAGCAUGUGGUUUAAUUCGAAGCAACGCGAAGAACCUUACCAAGUCUUGACAUCGGAAUGACCGUCUCUUAACAGAGGCUUCCCUUCGGGGCAUUCCAGACAGGUGGUGCAUGGUUGUCGUCAGCUCGUGUCGUGAGAUGUUGGGUUAAGUCCCGCAACGAGCGCAACCCUUAUCCUUAGUAGCCAGCACGUUAUGGUGGGCACUCUGGGGAGACUGCCAGGGAUAACCUGGAGGAAGGUGGGGAUGACGUCAAAUCAUCAUGCCCCUUAUGAUUUGGGCUACACACGUGCUACAAUGGCGUAAACAAAGGGAAGCAAGGGAGUGAUCCGGAGCAAAUCUCAAAAAUAACGUCUCAGUUCGGAUUGUAGUCUGCAACUCGACUACAUGAAGCUGGAAUCGCUAGUAAUCGCGGAUCAGAAUGCCGCGGUGAAUACGUUCCCGGGUCUUGUACACACCGCCCGUCACACCAUGGGAGUUGGUAACGCCCGAAGUCAGUGACCCAACCGCAAGGAGGGAGCUGCCGAAGGCGGGACUGAUAACUGGGGUGAAGUCGUAACAAGGUAGCCGUAUCGGAAGGUGCGGCU
Molecule: ribosomal RNA, 603 nt
Filed under: uncultured bacterium
Lineage: Bacteria
Description: bacterial SSU rRNA
Rfam family: Bacterial small subunit ribosomal RNA
Source: RNAcentral